RNAcentral lists this ribosomal RNA (255 nucleotides) under uncultured bacterium. RNAcentral's name for it is "partial 16S ribosomal RNA". It matches the Rfam family "Bacterial small subunit ribosomal RNA", at positions 524 to 776 of the family's 1533-position model. The record is from RNAcentral.
UACGGGGGGAGCAAGCGUUGUUCGGAUUUACUGGGCGUAAAGGGCGCGUAGGCGGUCGUGACAAGUCACUUGUGAAAUCUCCGGGCUUAACUCGGAACGGUCAAGUGAUACUGUCGGACUAGAGUACAGAAGGGGCAACUGGAAUUCUCGGGUGUAGCGGUGAAAUGCGUAGAUAUCGAGAGGAACACCUGCGGCGAAGGCGGGUUGCUGGGCUGAUACUGACGCUGAUGCGCGAAAGCCAGGGGAGCGAACGGG